GACAAACGCUGGCGGCGUGCUUAACACAUGCAAGUCGAACGGAAAGGCCCUGCUUUUGUGGGGUGCUCGAGUGGCGAACGGGUGAGUAACACGUGAGUAACCUGCCCUUGACUUUGGGAUAACUUCAGGAAACUGGGGCUAAUACCGGAUAGGAGCUCCUGCUGCAUGGUGGGGGUUGGAAAGUUUCGGCGGCUGGGGAUGGACUCGCGGCUUAUCAGCUUGUUGGUGGGGUAGUGGCUUACCAAGGCUUUGACGGGUAGCCGGCCUGAGAGGGUGACCGGCCACAUUGGGACUGAGAUACGGCCCAGACUCCUACGGGAGGCAGAAGUGGGGAAUAUUGCACAAUGGGCGGAAGCCUGAUGCAGCAACGCCGCGUGCGGGAUGACGGCCUUCGGGUUGUAAACCGCUUUCGCCUGUGACGAAGCGUGAGUGACGGUAAUGGGUAAAGAAGCACCGGCUAACUACGUG
This 468-nucleotide ribosomal RNA is filed under the name uncultured bacterium. RNAcentral's name for it is "partial 16S ribosomal RNA". It matches the Rfam family "Bacterial small subunit ribosomal RNA", at positions 28 to 507 of the family's 1533-position model. The record is from RNAcentral.